RNAcentral lists this ribosomal RNA (785 nucleotides) under uncultured archaeon. Its description in RNAcentral is "bacterial SSU rRNA". It matches the Rfam family "Archaeal small subunit ribosomal RNA", at positions 534 to 1318 of the family's 1478-position model. The record is from RNAcentral.
UUAGUCCCUUGUUAAAACCACCGAAUCAAUCGGUGGAUUGCGGGGGAUACUGCUUGGCUAGGGGACGAGAGAGGCAGACGGUAUUUCCGGGGUAGGAGUGAAAUCCUAUAAUCCCGGGAAGACCACCAGUGGCGAAGGCUGUCUGCUAGAACGCGCCCGACGGUGAGGGAUGAAAGCUGGGGGAGCGAACCGGAUUAGAUACCCGGGUAGUCCCAGCUGUAAACGAUGCAGACUAGGUGUUUGGACGGCCACGUGCCGUUCUAGUGCCGCAGGGAAACUGUUAAGUCUGCCGCCUGGGGAGUACGAUCGCAAGAUUGAAACUUAAAGGAAUUGGCGGGGGAGCACCACAAGGGGUGAAGCUUGCGGUUUAAUUGGAGUCAACGCCGGAAAUCUCACCGGGAGCGACAGCAGUAUGAAGGCCAGAUUAAAGGUCUUGCUAGACGAGCUGAGAGGAGGUGCAUGGCCGUCGCCAGUUCGUGCCGUGAGGUGUCCUGUUAAGUCAGGUAACGAGCGAGAUCCCUAUCUCUAGUUGCUACUGCUGCUCUCAGGAGUAGUAGAGCUAAUUAGAGGGACCGCCGCCGCUGAGGCGGAGGAAGGAGGGGGCUACGGCAGGUCAGUAUGCCCCGAAACCCUCGGGCCACACGCGGGCUGCAAUGGUAAGGACAAUGGGUUCCUAUUCCGAAAGGAGGAGGCAAUCCCCAAACCUUACCCCAGUUAUGAUUGAGGGCUGAAACUCGCCCUUAUGAAUAUGGAAUCCCUAGUAACCGCGUGUCAUCAUCGCGCGG